RNAcentral lists this microRNA precursor (95 nucleotides) under Bos taurus (domestic cattle). RNAcentral describes it as "microRNA bta-mir-551b precursor". Its record names the gene bta-mir-551b. The stretch from base 14 to 87 matches the Rfam family "mir-551 microRNA precursor family". The record is from miRBase by way of RNAcentral. Lineage: Eukaryota; Metazoa; Chordata; Mammalia; Artiodactyla; Bovidae. RNAcentral also lists the same sequence under 1 other name.
AGAGAAGUUCUCCUGGCCUAAGAAAUCAAGCGUGGGUGAGACCUGGUGCAGAACAGGAAGGCGACCCAUACUUGGUUUCAGAGGCUGUGAGAAUA